Molecule: ribosomal RNA, 497 nt
Filed under: uncultured bacterium
Lineage: Bacteria
Description: partial 16S ribosomal RNA
Rfam family: Bacterial small subunit ribosomal RNA
Source: RNAcentral
GACGAACGCUGGCGGCGUGCCUAAUACAUGCAAGUAGAACGCUGAAGAGAGGAGCUUGCUCUUCUUGGAUGAGUUGCGAACGGGUGAGUAACGCGUAGGUAACCUGCCUUGUAGCGGGGGAUAACUAUUGGAAACGAUAGCUAAUACCGCAUAACAAUGGAUGACACAUGUCAUUUAUUUGAAAGGGGCAAUUGCUCCACUACAAGAUGGACCUGCGUUGUAUUAGCUAGUAGGUGAGGUAAUGGCUCACCUAGGCGACGAUACAUAGCCGACCUGAGAGGGUGAUCGGCCACACUGGGACUGAGACACGGCCCAGACUCCUACGGGAGGCAGCAGUAGGGAAUCUUCGGCAAUGGGGGCAACCCUGACCGAGCAACGCCGCGUGAGUGAAGAAGAUUGUCGGAUCGUAAAGCUCUGUUGUAAGUCAAGAACGGGUGUGAGAGUGGAAAGUUCACACUGUGACGGUAGCUUACCAGAAAGGGACGGCUAACUACGUG